Molecule: ribosomal RNA, 1084 nt
Filed under: Thermococcus sp. Tc-1-95
Lineage: Archaea; Methanobacteriati; Methanobacteriota; Thermococci; Thermococcales; Thermococcaceae
Also listed under: 1 other name
Description: bacterial SSU rRNA
Rfam family: Archaeal small subunit ribosomal RNA
Source: RNAcentral
GGCCACUGCUAUGGGGGUCCGACUAAGCCAUGCGAGUCAUGGGGCGCGCUCUGCGCGCACCGGCGGACGGCUCAGUAACACGUCGGUAACCUACCCUCGGGAGGGGGAUAACCCCGGGAAACUGGGGCUAAUCCCCCAUAGGCCUGAGGUACUGGAAGGUCCUCAGGCCGAAAGGGGCUUCGGCCCGCCCGAGGAUGGGCCGGCGGCCGAUUAGGUAGUUGGUGGGGUAACGGCCCACCAAGCCGAAGAUCGGUACGGGCCAUGAGAGUGGGAGCCCGGAGAUGGACACUGAGACACGGGUCCAGGCCCUACGGGGCGCAGCAGGCGCGAAACCUCCGCAAUGCGGGAAACCGCGACGGGGGGACCCCCAGUGCCGUGGCAUCGCCACGGCUUUUCCGGAGUGUAAAAAGCUCCGGGAAUAAGGGCUGGGCAAGGCCGGUGGCAGCCGCCGCGGUAAUACCGGCGGCCCGAGUGGUGGCCGCUAUUAUUGGGCCUAAAGCGUCCGUAGCCGGGCCCGUAAGUCCCUGGCGAAAUCCCACGGCUCAACCGUGGGGCUUGCUGGGGAUACUGCGGGCCUUGGGACCGGGAGAGGCCGGGGGUACCCCUGGGGUAGGGGUGAAAUCCUAUAAUCCCAGGGGGACCGCCAGUGGCGAAGGCGCCCGGCUGGAACGGGUCCGACGGUGAGGGACGAAGGCCAGGGGAGCGAACCGGAUUAGAUACCCGGGUAGUCCUGGCUGUAAAGGAUGCGGGCUAGGUGUCGGGCGAGCUUCGAGCUCGCCCGGUGCCGAAGGGAAGCCGUUAAGCCCGCCGCCUGGGGAGUACGGCCGCAAGGCUGAAACUUAAAGGAAUUGGCGGGGGAGCACUACAAGGGGUGGAGCGUGCGGUUUAAUUGGAUUCAACGCCGGGAACCUCACCGGGGGCGACGGCAGGAUGAAGGCCAGGCUGAAGGUCUUGCCGGACACGCCGAGAGGAGGUGCAUGGCCGCCGUCAGCUCGUACCGUGAGGCGUCCACUUAAGUGUGGUAACGAGCGAGACCCGCGCCCCCAGUUGCCAGUCCUCCCCGUUGGGGAGGAGGCACUCUGGG